Molecule: ribosomal RNA, 253 nt
Filed under: uncultured bacterium
Lineage: Bacteria
Description: partial 16S ribosomal RNA
Rfam family: Bacterial small subunit ribosomal RNA
Source: RNAcentral
UACGUAGGGUCCGAGCGUUGUCCGGAAUUAUUGGGCGUAAAGAGCUCGUAGGCGGUUUGUCGCGUCUGCUGUGAAAUCCCGAGGCUCAACCUCGGGCCUGCAGUGGGUACGGGCAGUCUGGAGUGCGGUAGGGGAGAAUGGAAUUCCUGGUGUAGCGGUGGAAUGCGCAGAUAUCAGGAGGAACACCGAUGGCGAAGGCAGUUCUCUGGGCCGUAACUGACGCUGAGGAGCGAAAGCGUGGGGAGCGAACAGG